RNAcentral lists this transfer RNA (74 nucleotides) under Candidatus Bathyarchaeota archaeon. RNAcentral describes it as "tRNA-Arg". It matches the Rfam family "tRNA". From Rfam's summary of the family: Transfer RNA (tRNA) molecules are approximately 80 nucleotides in length. Their secondary structure includes four short double-helical elements and three loops (D, anti-codon, and T loops). RNAcentral also lists the same sequence under 1 other name. The record is from RNAcentral. Lineage: Archaea; Thermoproteati; Candidatus Bathyarchaeota.
GGGCCCGUGGCGUAGCUGGAUAGCGCGUCGGCCUGCGGAGCCGGAGGUCCCGGGUUCGAAUCCCGGCGGGCCCA